Molecule: non-coding RNA, 106 nt
Organism: Paramuricea clavata
Lineage: Eukaryota; Metazoa; Cnidaria; Anthozoa; Malacalcyonacea; Plexauridae
Source: the annotation of a GenBank genome assembly
UAUAAUAGUUUUGUUUGUGGAAACACCACGUAAAUUUAUUACUGCAAUUACUGCAAGUAAUAAAUUUACGUGGUGUUUCCACAAACAAAACUAUUAUAAAAAUAAU